This 478-nucleotide ribosomal RNA is filed under the name uncultured bacterium. RNAcentral's name for it is "partial 16S ribosomal RNA". It matches the Rfam family "Bacterial small subunit ribosomal RNA", at positions 28 to 523 of the family's 1533-position model. The record is from RNAcentral.
GACGAACGCUGGCGGCGUGCUUAACACAUGCAAGUCGAGCGAUGAAAUCCCUUCGGGGAUGGAUUAGCGGCGGACGGGUGAGUAACACGUGGGUAACCUGCCUCAAAGAGGGGGAUAGCCUCCCGAAAGGGAGAUUAAUACCGCAUAACAUGGGUUUUUCGCAUGGGAAACUAAUUAAAGGAGUAAUCCGCUUUGAGAUGGACCCGCGGCGCAUUAGCUAGUUGGUGAGGUAACGGCUCACCAAGGCGACGAUGCGUAGCCGACCUGAGAGGGUGAUCGGCCACACUGGAACUGAGACACGGUCCAGACUCCUACGGGAGGCAGCAGUGGGGAAUAUUGCACAAUGGGCGAAAGCCUGAUGCAGCAACGCCGCGUGAGUGAUGAAGGCCUUCGGGUUGUAAAGCUCUGUCUUUUGGGACGAUAAUGACGGUACCAAAGGAGGAAGCCACGGCUAACUACGUGCCAGCCGCCGCUGUAA